Molecule: unclassified non-coding RNA, 25 nt
Filed under: Mus musculus (house mouse)
Lineage: Eukaryota; Metazoa; Chordata; Mammalia; Rodentia; Muridae
Description: oocyte_clustered_small_RNA11688
Source: RNAcentral
GAAGCCAAGCAGACCUGCACAGAAG